RNAcentral lists this ribosomal RNA (250 nucleotides) under uncultured bacterium. Its description in RNAcentral is "partial 16S ribosomal RNA". It matches the Rfam family "Bacterial small subunit ribosomal RNA", at positions 793 to 1055 of the family's 1533-position model. The record is from RNAcentral.
GUCCGCACAGUAACGAUGAAUACUAGCUGUUGCGAUAUACUGUAAGUGGCACAGCGAAGCGUUAAGUAUUCCACCUGGGAGUACGCCGGCAACGGUGAACUCAAGGAAUUGACGGGCCCGCACAAGCGGAGGAACAUGUGGUUAAUUCGAUGAUACGCGAGGAACCUUACCCGGGCUUGAAUUGCAUUUGAAUAUAUCGGAAACGUUAUAGCCAGCAAUGGCAAAUGUGAAGGUGCUGCAUGGUUGUCGU